AUGACUAUGUCUGUUUAGGACGUUCGAGAGUUCGAUUUGAUCAGCACCGGACUUGGCGGCAGAUGCCGUCGUUUGGAGUUUUUGCGCAAAAUAUGUGUUAAAAUGUUCAUCAUUUUUUUUGACGGAGUGUCCGUUUUCGUCGUUCGGAAGAAGUAACUCUCGAGGCAUCUCCUGCAACGUCUCGCGAUACCAAAGGCUGCUUCUCCCUAAUAGCUGAUUUAUUUCCGAAUAUCAAAAAUGUUUUGCGGAUAAAAAAUAAUUUGCUUGGUUAAGAUAUGUC
This 280-nucleotide long non-coding RNA is filed under the name Brassica napus (rape). RNAcentral's name for it is "long non-coding RNA (BNAP_LNC021349)". The record is from RNAcentral. Lineage: Eukaryota; Viridiplantae; Streptophyta; Magnoliopsida; Brassicales; Brassicaceae.